Molecule: ribosomal RNA, 664 nt
Filed under: Shewanella sp. JRI12
Lineage: Bacteria; Pseudomonadati; Pseudomonadota; Gammaproteobacteria; Alteromonadales; Shewanellaceae
Description: bacterial SSU rRNA
Rfam family: Bacterial small subunit ribosomal RNA
Source: RNAcentral
CUGGAACUGAGACACGGUCCAGACUCCUACGGGAGGCAGCAGUGGGGAAAUAUUGCACAAUGGGCGAAAGCCUGAUGCAGCCAUGCCGCGUGUAUGAAGAAGGCCUUCGGGUUGUAAAGUACUUUCAGCGAGGAGGAAAGGUUGUUGGUUAAUAACCAACAGCUGUGACGUUACUCGCAGAAGAAGCACCGGCUAACUUCGUGCCAGCAGCCGCGGUAAUACGAGGGGUGCAAGCGUUAAUCGGAAUUACUGGGCGUAAAGCGUACGCAGGCGGUUUGUUAAGCGAGAUGUGAAAGCCCCGGGCUCAACCUGGGAACUGCAUUUCGAACUGGCAAACUAGAGUCUUGUAGAGGGGGGUAGAAUUUCAGGUGUAGCGGUGAAAUGCGUAGAGAUCUGAAGGAAUACCGGUGGCGAAAGGCGGCCCCCUGGACAAAGACUGACGCUCAGGUACGAAAGCGUGGGGAGCAAACAGGAUUAGAUACCCUGGUAGUGCACGCCGUAAACGAUGUCUACUCGGAAUUUGGUGUCUUGAACACUGGGUUCUCAAGCUAACGCAUUAAGUAGACCGCCUGGGGAGUACGGCCGCAAGGUUAAAACUCAAAUGAAUUGACGGGGGCCCGCACAAGCGGUGGAGCAUGUGGUUUAAUUCGAUGCAACGCGAAGA